AAACGUGAGAGUUUGAUCCUGGCUCAGAACGAACGCUGGCGGCAGGCUUAACACAUGCAAGUCGAAGGUGAAGCAGGGCUUCGGCCCUGUGGAAACUGGCGCACGGGUGAGUAACGCGUGGGAAUCUACCCAGUGGUUCGGAAUAACCGCGGGAAACUGCGGCUAAUACCGAAUACGCCCUGAGGGGGAAAGAUUUAUCGCCAUUGGAUGAGCCCGCGUCGGAUUAGCUUGUUGGUGAGGUAAAGGCUCACCAAGGCGACGAUCCGUAGCUGGUCUGAGAGGAUGAUCAGCCACACUGGGACUGAGACACGGCCCAGACUCCUACGGGAGGCAGCAGUGAGGAAUAUUGGACAAUGGGCGCAAGCCUGAUCCAGCCAUGCCGCGUGAGUGAUGAAGGCCUUAGGGUU
This 407-nucleotide ribosomal RNA is filed under the name Alphaproteobacteria bacterium. RNAcentral describes it as "bacterial SSU rRNA". It matches the Rfam family "Bacterial small subunit ribosomal RNA", at positions 1 to 424 of the family's 1533-position model. Lineage: Bacteria; Pseudomonadati; Pseudomonadota; Alphaproteobacteria. The record is from RNAcentral.